AAUAUUGCACAAUGGGCGCAAGCCUGAUGCAGCGACGCCGCGUGGGGGAUGACGGCCUUCGGGUUGUAAACUCCUUUCGCUAGGGACGAAGCUUUUUGUGACGGUACCUAGAUAAGAAGCACCGGCUAACUACGUGCCAGCAGCCGCGGUAAUACGUAGGGUGCGAGCGUUGUCCGGAAUUACUGGGCGUAAAGGGCUCGUAGGUGGUUUGUCGCGUCGUCUGUGAAAUUCCGGGGUUUAACUCCGGGCGUGCAGGCGAUACGGGCAUAACUUGAGUACUGUAGGGGUAACUGGAAUUCCUGGUGUAGCGGUGAAAUGCGCAGAUAUCAGGAGGAACACCGAUGGCGAAGGCAGGUUACUGGGCAGUUACUGACGCUGAGGAGCGAAAGCAUGGGUAGCGAACAGGAUUAGAUACCCUGGUAGUCCAUGCCGUAAACGGUGGGCGCUAGGUGUGAGGGUCUUUUCACGACUUUCGUGCCGUAGCUAACGCAUUAAGCGCCCCGCCUGGGGAGUACGGCCGCAAGGCUAAAACUCAAAGGAAUUGACGGGGGCCCGCACAAG
RNAcentral lists this ribosomal RNA (561 nucleotides) under uncultured bacterium. RNAcentral describes it as "bacterial SSU rRNA". It matches the Rfam family "Bacterial small subunit ribosomal RNA", at positions 360 to 929 of the family's 1533-position model. The record is from RNAcentral.